UACGUCGGCAGCAAGCGUUGCUCGGAGUUACUGGGCGUAAAGGGUGCGUAGGCGGUCCUAUAAGUAUGGUGUGAAAUCUCCCGGCUUAACUGGGAGGGUGCGCUAUAGACUGUGGGACUAGAGUGUGGGAGAGGAAAGUGGAAUUCCUGGUGUAGCGGUGAAAUGCGUAGAUAUCAGGAGGAACACCGGUGGUGUAAACGGCUUUCUGGACCAUAACUGACGCUGAGGCACGAAAGCGUGGGUAGCAAACAGG
Molecule: ribosomal RNA, 253 nt
Filed under: uncultured bacterium
Lineage: Bacteria
Description: partial 16S ribosomal RNA
Rfam family: Bacterial small subunit ribosomal RNA
Source: RNAcentral